Molecule: non-coding RNA, 295 nt
Filed under: Pediculus humanus corporis (human body louse)
Lineage: Eukaryota; Metazoa; Arthropoda; Insecta; Psocodea; Pediculidae
Source: RNAcentral
GCGGGGAGUGGUGGUGUAAUCCUGUAAUACCGUAAUUCAACUACUCGGAGGCUAGGUAUGGAGGAUGGUUUAGAGGCGGGGAUUCUGGGAUUGGAUUUCCCACGUUGACUAGGCGUCCCCUAGGGAUAAAUCUUUAACUUGGAUGCCUUGGGGGAGCCCCGAAGUAGCCAGAAGUUGAGUUUGAAAAGGUUAAAAAUCUACCCAAAAAUCACCGAGUUGAGAGUCGGGGGUUCAAAUCUUGGGAGUGGGAGUUUAAUUUCAGCUCGUCCAAAAACAAGAGCAGGUCUGUACCUAC